This 273-nucleotide ribosomal RNA is filed under the name uncultured bacterium. RNAcentral describes it as "partial 16S ribosomal RNA". It matches the Rfam family "Bacterial small subunit ribosomal RNA", at positions 524 to 796 of the family's 1533-position model. The record is from RNAcentral.
UACGGAGGGGGCAAGCGUUGUUCGGAAUUACUGGGCGUAAAGCGCACGUAGGCGGACAUUUAAGUCAGGGGUGAAAUCCCGGGGCUCAACCCCGGAACUGCCUUUGAUACUGGGUGUCUAGAGUAUGGAAGAGGUGAGUGGAAUUCCGAGUGUAGAGGUGAAAUUCGUAGAUAUUCGGAGGAACACCAGUGGCGAAGGCGGCUCACUGGUCCAUUACUGACGCUGAGGUGCGAAAGCGUGGGGAGCAAACAGGAUUAGAAACCCCAGUAGUCC